This is a long non-coding RNA of Manis pentadactyla (Chinese pangolin), 532 nucleotides long. RefSeq lists it as uncharacterized. The record is from RefSeq and is a predicted model, not a curated record. The transcript is spliced from 4 exons. Lineage: Eukaryota; Metazoa; Chordata; Mammalia; Pholidota; Manidae.
AGCCGCGGGGCCCCGGGGCAGGCGAAGCUGCACCCGAGUUUGCCACGUGGAUUUGGUAGAUUUGCGACCAUAAAUGGGAAACCAAGAUAUGAAAGUAUACCUCGAGCAAUCUUUACCGUCUUUAGAGGGCGGCUAUUUGGACCCUUGAAGCCCAUCUCUGAAACCCAAGUUAAGCACCUCUAAGAGAAGAGAAAUGCAACAGCCCUGAGGAUAACACUUUUAAAGGAAGUGGUCUAUGGAGGAGACACAGUCUGGGACAUGCUGAAAUUUCUGAGGGCUCAGCUUGGCAGUUUUAGAAAGAACAUGGGUCUUCUCUGGGCCUGGUCUCCUGUCUGCCAACCGGGAACCUCGGCGGGGCUGCUGGCCACUACUUGCCCUCAUAGUCCAGCAGAAAGAAACCGCCUCUGGCUGAUGGUAAGAAAGCCAGGGGCAGAGGCGGCCCUUCGGACGUACCAGGUGAGUUUCCAGGUCAGUUAGCAAAAAGGGUUUUAAGAAGACAUAAAAGUAUAAUUGCAUUAAACAGUGAUUGAUG